RNAcentral lists this long non-coding RNA (258 nucleotides) under Crocodylus porosus (Australian saltwater crocodile). RNAcentral describes it as "lncRNA (ENSCPRG00005014580.1)". Lineage: Eukaryota; Metazoa; Chordata; Crocodylia; Crocodylidae. The record is from RNAcentral.
UGAAGAUAGCUGAGCCCAAAGUAAGUUUUAAUUUUGCAGAAAGAAAACUGGCAGAGAAAAUUAAGGAUGAGAGGAGAUUGAAAAUGUAUCGGUAAAACCCAGACAACUUUAUAUCGUAGGAAAUGAAAUUCCAAUAACAGGAAGAAUUUAAAGGCUGAAAAAGUAGACUUAAGUAGUCUUGUCCCUGGAACAGUUUUUCUGCUAACAUUAAUGGAUCGGUUUGGUUUGGUUUAUCAUAUCUUCAACUUUGGAGGUCCA